This 200-nucleotide ribosomal RNA is filed under the name uncultured bacterium. RNAcentral's name for it is "partial 16S ribosomal RNA". It matches the Rfam family "Bacterial small subunit ribosomal RNA", at positions 1301 to 1500 of the family's 1533-position model. The record is from RNAcentral.
CAGGCUGCAACUCGCCUGCAUGAAGUCGGAAUUGCUAGUAAUCGCAGAUCAGCAUGCUGCGGUGAAUACGUUCCCGGGCCUUGUACACACCGCCCGUCACACCAUGGGAGUCGGUAACACCCGAAGUCGGUAGCCUAACCGUAAGGAGGGCGCCGCCGAAGGUGGGAUUGAUGACUGGGGUGAAGUCGUAACAAGGUAGC